RNAcentral lists this unclassified non-coding RNA (977 nucleotides) under Hevea brasiliensis (rubber tree). The record is from RNAcentral. Lineage: Eukaryota; Viridiplantae; Streptophyta; Magnoliopsida; Malpighiales; Euphorbiaceae.
AAAUGAUUUUUUUUUUUUAAUUUUUAUGCAUGAGAAACUUUCAAUUCUAUUAAAAAAGGAAAUAGUGAUGAAUUGGAUUUUGACAAGAAGAAAAUAUUUAUAUUUAUGGAGUUGAGGGCAAUCCAUGUAUUGCAACGGAUAUUUUAAUUGGUUCAUUAACUAGAUUUAGGAUCUGGCAAUAGUAGAUAGGCAAUAUUUGGGGCCAUUUUAUGGUCUUACCAUUUGUUAGUUGUCUACUUUAUAUGACAUUAACUUACUCCUUGACAUUUGGAUGUGAAGCAUGAAUCUUUUUCUUUCACUUUACUUUUUUUGGGACCCUUGUCUAUUUUUACAGUGCAUCGUAUGUCUUAACUGUAAAGCCUAUGGGCUCUGGGCCUUUCCCUUUUGUGAACUCAUUAAAAGAAAUCUAGCUAUUUUUUCCCGUAUGAUUUAAUUAUUUGAGUUUCUUUUGCAAUCUUAUUCUCAAUUCAUUAGCAUCUUUAUCUUUCAUAUAAUAGGGUUGUAGUUCUUGUCUUGUGCCAUCAACCAGUGAACUCACAAAAUUUGGUUUUAUCAGCUAUACCCUCACUUCUCAUCUCUGAACAUCAGAAUGAUAGUGGUCAUUGAUUUAUUACCAACACAAGAAGAUAAGGGCCCCAAUUUGAUUCAUGUUAUGUUUCUUGUCUGAUUCAUUUUCUCCCAUUCUUUAAUUGCCUUGGGGACAGUUGCAAAGAAUACUCGUUUCCUAUAAAUGUACACAAGUCUGCUCUUUAUUUUUUCUUCCCAAACAAGAGAGAGUGAAUAGAAUAAAAAUAAAUAAAGGUUAGCUUUUUCAAUUGUCAGAAGAGGAAUAGAUAAUGAAAGCUUCCCCUUUUGUCCAUUCUUCCCGAAGUGUGCAAGAUGUAUUAUAACUAUGAAGAAGGAAUAAAGGGAAAAGGAAGAUAUAAUCUUGACUAGUGCAACAAAAGUUAUGUCAUAUUUUAAAUAUUUUGUGAUGU